Termitomyces sp. J132 is the source of this 78-nucleotide transfer RNA. It matches the Rfam family "tRNA". Rfam says of the family: Transfer RNA (tRNA) molecules are approximately 80 nucleotides in length. The record is from Rfam. NCBI's taxonomy places the organism in Eukaryota, Fungi, Basidiomycota, Agaricomycetes, Agaricales, Lyophyllaceae.
GACCAUGUAGCUCAGUGGUUAGAGCAUCACAUGGAGUAUAUAUUCAAGAGGUCCCAGGUUCAACUCCUGGUAUGGUCA